CACGGGGGGAGCAAGCGUUGUUCGGAUUCAUUGGGCGUAAAGCGCUCGUAGGUGGCUUUGUAAGUCGGAGGUGAAAGACCACGGCUCAACCGUGGAAACGCCUUCGAAACUGUGGAGCUUGAGGCUGGGAGAGGAGAUCGGAAUUCCUGGUGUAGCGGUGAAAUGCGUAGAUAUCAGGAGGAACACCGGUGGCGAAGGCGGAUCUCUGGACCAGUUCUGACACUGAUGAGCGAAAGCUAGGGGAGCAAACAGG
This 253-nucleotide ribosomal RNA is filed under the name uncultured bacterium. RNAcentral describes it as "partial 16S ribosomal RNA". It matches the Rfam family "Bacterial small subunit ribosomal RNA", at positions 524 to 776 of the family's 1533-position model. The record is from RNAcentral.